RNAcentral lists this ribosomal RNA (153 nucleotides) under Yamagishiella unicocca. Its description in RNAcentral is "large subunit ribosomal RNA". The record is from RNAcentral. Lineage: Eukaryota; Viridiplantae; Chlorophyta; Chlorophyceae; Chlamydomonadales; Volvocaceae.
UGUUAUAGGUAGCAGAACGCUCUGGAUUUAAUAAAGAUGUUAACACUACCAGAGUUGAGACUGCUGACAUAAGUAACCUCAAAUGGAUAUCAUGGCCGUAAGUCCAAGGUUUUGCGAUAAAUCAGUGAUACGAACAUUACGACAGUUUUAUAA